GACGAACGCUGGCGGCGUGCUUAACACAUGCAAGUCGAACGGAAAGGCCCUGCUUUUGUGGGGUGCUCGAGUGGCGAACGGGUGAAUAACACGUGAGUAACCUGCCCUUGACUUUGGGAUAACUUCAGGAAACUGGGGCUAAUACCGGAUAGGAGCUCCUGCUGCAUGGUGGGGGUUGGAAAGUUUCGGCGGUUGGGGAUGGACUCGCGGCUUAUCAGCUUGUUGGUGGGGUAGUGGCUUACCAAGGCUUUGACGGGUAGCCGGCCUGAGAGGGUGACCGGCCACAUUGGGACUGAGAUACGGCCCAGACUCCUACGGGAGGCAGAAGUGGGGAAUAUUGCACAAUGGGCGGAAGCCUGAUGCAGCAACGCCGCGUGCGGGAUGACGGCCUUCGGGUUGUAAACCGCUUUCGCCUGUGACGAAGCGUGAGUGACGGUAAUGGGUAAAGAAGCACCGGCUAACUACGUG
RNAcentral lists this ribosomal RNA (468 nucleotides) under uncultured bacterium. RNAcentral describes it as "partial 16S ribosomal RNA". It matches the Rfam family "Bacterial small subunit ribosomal RNA", at positions 28 to 507 of the family's 1533-position model. The record is from RNAcentral.